RNAcentral lists this ribosomal RNA (1483 nucleotides) under Lactiplantibacillus plantarum. RNAcentral describes it as "bacterial SSU rRNA". It matches the Rfam family "Bacterial small subunit ribosomal RNA". Lineage: Bacteria; Bacillati; Bacillota; Bacilli; Lactobacillales; Lactobacillaceae. The record is from RNAcentral.
AGGAAAAUUGGGGGGGGUGCCUAAUACAUGCAAGUCGAACGAACUCUGGUAUUGAUUGGUGCUUGCAUCAUGAUUUACAUUUGAGUGAGUGGCGAACUGGUGAGUAACACGUGGGAAACCUGCCCAGAAGCGGGGGAUAACACCUGGAAACAGAUGCUAAUACCGCAUAACAACUUGGACCGCAUGGUCCGAGUUUGAAAGAUGGCUUCGGCUAUCACUUUUGGAUGGUCCCGCGGCGUAUUAGCUAGAUGGUGGGGUAACGGCUCACCAUGGCAAUGAUACGUAGCCGACCUGAGAGGGUAAUCGGCCACAUUGGGACUGAGACACGGCCCAAACUCCUACGGGAGGCAGCAGUAGGGAAUCUUCCACAAUGGACGAAAGUCUGAUGGAGCAACGCCGCGUGAGUGAAGAAGGGUUUCGGCUCGUAAAACUCUGUUGUUAAAGAAGAACAUAUCUGAGAGUAACUGUUCAGGUAUUGACGGUAUUUAACCAGAAAGCCACGGCUAACUACGUGCCAGCAGCCGCGGUAAUACGUAGGUGGCAAGCGUUGUCCGGAUUUAUUGGGCGUAAAGCGAGCGCAGGCGGUUUUUUAAGUCUGAUGUGAAAGCCUUCGGCUCAACCGAAGAAGUGCAUCGGAAACUGGGAAACUUGAGUGCAGAAGAGGACAGUGGAACUCCAUGUGUAGCGGUGAAAUGCGUAGAUAUAUGGAAGAACACCAGUGGCGAAGGCGGCUGUCUGGUCUGUAACUGACGCUGAGGCUCGAAAGUAUGGGUAGCAAACAGGAUUAGAUACCCUGGUAGUCCAUACCGUAAACGAUGAAUGCUAAGUGUUGGAGGGUUUCCGCCCUUCAGUGCUGCAGCUAACGCAUUAAGCAUUCCGCCUGGGGAGUACGGCCGCAAGGCUGAAACUCAAAGGAAUUGACGGGGGCCCGCACAAGCGGUGGAGCAUGUGGUUUAAUUCGAAGCUACGCGAAGAACCUUACCAGGUCUUGACAUACUAUGCAAAUCUAAGAGAUUAGACGUUCCCUUCGGGGACAUGGAUACAGGUGGUGCAUGGUUGUCGUCAGCUCGUGUCGUGAGAUGUUGGGUUAAGUCCCGCAACGAGCGCAACCCUUAUUAUCAGUUGCCAGCAUUAAGUUGGGCACUCUGGUGAGACUGCCGGUGACAAACCGGAGGAAGGUGGGGAUGACGUCAAAUCAUCAUGCCCCUUAUGACCUGGGCUACACACGUGCUACAAUGGAUGGUACAACGAGUUGCGAACUCGCGAGAGUAAGCUAAUCUCUUAAAGCCAUUCUCAGUUCGGAUUGUAGGCUGCAACUCGCCUACAUGAAGUCGGAAUCGCUAGUAAUCGCGGAUCAGCAUGCCGCGGUGAAUACGUUCCCGGGCCUUGUACACACCGCCCGUCACACCAUGAGAGUUUGUAACACCCAAAGUCGGUGGGGUAACCUUUUAGGAACCAGCCGCCUAAGGUGACAAGAAUGUGG